UUUUUUUUUUUUUUUUCCCCAGUGCAGAAGAGAUAGUGGUCAUGAGAAUGCCCCAUUUUCUUUCUACUACAUUUUUUAGCCCCCUGAACCUAAGUGAACUUUCAUGCCCUCCUUGCCAUCUCUACAGACAGCUGGCUGGUACAAAGGCAGCCUUGAACUUCCAAGAUGGUACAGUCACAAGAUAGAAAUAGCUUAGUCCCUUAUUCACCUCUUGCAGCAGAAUCAUCCACUCAAGAAUACCCUCAUUACAUUUUGCAUGAGCAAGAAUCAAACUUCUUUGAGGCCAAAGCAUUAGAUUUGAGGGUCUGUUUGUUAUAGCAGUUAACUGACACUGACUGAUACACCUAGUUCAUUUCCAACAUCAAUCCUGUGAGUCAUUGUCAUAUAUAGAUACUUUAAAUUGACCUUUAAAUUGAAUAUUUUUACCAACAAAUUCACUUCUACAACAUCACUAAUGAGCUCUUAUAAGCAAGCUGUGAAUAUUUGACUGCCUGUGUUUGUUACCUUUGUUUCCUCCACUCCGUGUUUCACUCAUUUAUUUGAAAACCAUGUGUGAGCAUCUGCUAAGUGGCAGACAUUAUCUAUGUCCUUGGGAUGUGAAGAUAAAUAUAACACAGGCAAAAGACAAUGACAGAAAUAUUAGUGUGCCCUGCAAGAGGGGGUGCACACAGGACAAUGAGGAUAUAAAACAAUGGAAGUACAACAAUGAAAGGGCAGAGACAUUUUUACCAAGGUUGUGACAUCUAUACUGAGUUUUAAGAGAUGGGUAGCAGUUCACCAGGUAGAGAUGGAAAGAGAAAGGCCAGAUCAGACAAGGGGACAUGCAAAGACCCCCAGGUGGGACCCUUGCAUCUUGCAGAAUGGUCCCUAUAGCUGGCCUAAAGAGCUGGUUAGCAUGAUCCCAAAGAUGACUCGAUGAUAAAUCCAAGUUCUGAAAUGACUUUGAGCCAAGCAGCAUUAACCUGGGGCACAAAAGAGUCAUAUGUGAGGUUUGGGUCCAUGCCUAUUAUUCUGGAAUCUGCCUUGCUUAACUCCAAGAUUUAUGUGGGGCACUUGGCCCAGGGGAGGUAAUUCCUGACAUGUUUACAUCUAAACUUAGAGGGAUAACCUCCCCAAUGUCCUGUAGGGAAGGCUGAGAUUGGCAAAGGUGGUUAAACCUCCAGAAGAUCUGCUAUGAUCCUCAUUUAUUCAAACAUGAUCUUCUACUGUGCAACCCCUUGUUGAGGAUCUUGCAGCCAGGAAGAUCACAUCUCCAUCCACCUUGGAGAAAGUGGUUCAUCUCUCUGCCUGAAUGCCAGUCAGCUUGACUUCUUUUUGUAUCUUUUUGAUUUACCUAAAUAUUACUGGUGCCUAGUCUCCCUGUGCAUCUAAGCCUGCAGACAGCAUUUUUUACCUCAGUGGUUGCACACAAAACACAGUGUGUUUGGAAAAUUAUAAUUAGCCUGUUAUGCCUGGGAGGACACUGGUGAUUUGCAAAUGGUGUGUGCAAGAAAAGAAAUUCAGGAGGGAGAUCAUGAUAACUGUUAUACAUCAUGCUAAGGAGUUCAGAUGUAAUCUUGUUAGGCAAACGGGAACCCAAGAAAUGGGUGUGACAUGAGAAAAAACAGAUUUAAAGAUAUAAAUAUAGACACAUACAUACAUACACAGACACACAUAUAC
This is a long non-coding RNA of Macaca fascicularis (crab-eating macaque), 1659 nucleotides long. NCBI's taxonomy places the organism in Eukaryota, Metazoa, Chordata, Mammalia, Primates, Cercopithecidae. The record is from Ensembl.